GACGAACCGUGCGAACGUUAUUCGGAAUCACUGGGCCUAAAGCGCGUGUAGGCGGCCCGGCACGUCUCUGGCUGAAAUCCCCCGGCUCAACCGGGGAAGGGGCCGGGAUACGACCGGGCUGGAGGGGGGUAGGGGGGACGGGAACUCCGGGUGGAGCGGUGAAAUGCGUUGAGAUCCGGAGGAACGCCCGCGGCGAAAGCGGCUUCCUGGUCCAGCACCGACGUUCAGGCACGAAAGCGUGGGGAGCAAACAGG
This 254-nucleotide ribosomal RNA is filed under the name uncultured bacterium. RNAcentral's name for it is "partial 16S ribosomal RNA". It matches the Rfam family "Bacterial small subunit ribosomal RNA", at positions 524 to 776 of the family's 1533-position model. The record is from RNAcentral.